AGAAAGUGGUAUAAGGGAAGUACAGGGGGUUUUGAGCUCCUUGGUGCAGGUUCGAAUCCUGUUUUUCUA
This 69-nucleotide transfer RNA is filed under the name Plestiodon japonicus. RNAcentral's name for it is "partial tRNA-Gln". It matches the Rfam family "tRNA". From Rfam's summary of the family: Transfer RNA (tRNA) molecules are approximately 80 nucleotides in length. Their secondary structure includes four short double-helical elements and three loops (D, anti-codon, and T loops). The record is from RNAcentral. Lineage: Eukaryota; Metazoa; Chordata; Lepidosauria; Squamata; Scincidae.